This 254-nucleotide unclassified non-coding RNA is filed under the name uncultured Verrucomicrobiota bacterium. RNAcentral's name for it is "uncultured Verrucomicrobia bacterium contains 16S-23S intergenic spacer region". It matches the Rfam family "Bacterial small subunit ribosomal RNA", at positions 524 to 776 of the family's 1533-position model. The record is from RNAcentral. Lineage: Bacteria; Pseudomonadati; Verrucomicrobiota.
UACAGAGGUCCCGAGCGUUGUUCGGAUUCACUGGGCGUAAAGGGUGCGUAGGUGGCGGGGUAAGUCUGAUGUGAAAUCCCGGGGCUCAACCCUGGAACUGCAUUGGAUACUGCCUUGCUUAGAGUACUGGAGAGGGAACUGGAAUUUACGGUGUAGCAGUGAAAUGCGUAGAGAUCGUAAGGAAGGCCAGUGGCGAAGGCGAGUUCCUGGACAGUUACUGACGCUGAGGCACGAAGGCCAGGGGAGCAAACGGG